Molecule: unclassified non-coding RNA, 279 nt
Filed under: Hevea brasiliensis (rubber tree)
Lineage: Eukaryota; Viridiplantae; Streptophyta; Magnoliopsida; Malpighiales; Euphorbiaceae
Source: RNAcentral
AUCCAGGACCCCUUGGCGCCUUAGUGCGCUAUUGAGCCUUUAAUAACUAUACCCAAAAGAAUGCAAAGCUUUUUUCUUCACCAAUAAAAGAAAAUAUUGAAACAAGAGAACAAACCAUUAAAUACAAUUACAAAAAUGAGGUCUCCCCUAACAAAUAAAUUAGUGCGCCAUUGAGCCUUUAAUAACUAUGCCCAAAAGAAUCCAAGGCAUUUUCCUUCACCGAUAAAAGAAAAUAUUGAAACAAGAGAAGAAACCAUUAAAUACAAUUACAAAAAUGAG